Molecule: ribosomal RNA, 466 nt
Filed under: uncultured bacterium
Lineage: Bacteria
Description: bacterial SSU rRNA
Rfam family: Bacterial small subunit ribosomal RNA
Source: RNAcentral
GACGAACGCUGGCGGUGUGCUUAACACAUGCAAGUGGAGCGACGAACCAGGGCUUGCCCUGGGGCAAAGCCGCGAACGGGUGAGUAACACGUGGGUAACCUGCCCCGAUGACCGGGAUAACCCGAGGAAACUCGAGCUAAUACCGGAUGUGCUCUCCCUCACGAGAGGGGCGAGUAAAGGAAGCUUCGGCCUCCGCAUCGGGAGGGCCCGUGGCCCAUUAGCUUGUUGGUGGGGUAACGGCCUACCAAGGCUGCGAUGGGUAGCUGGUCUGAGAGGACGAUCGGCCACACUGGGACUGAGACACGGCCCAGACUCCUACGGGAGGCAGCAGUGGGGAAUCUUGCGCAAUGCGCGACAGCGUGACGCAGCAACACCGCGUGGGGGAAGAAGGCCUUCGGGUUGUAAACCCCUUUCAGCGGGGAAGAUAAUGACGGUACCCGCAGAAGAAGCCCCGGCUAACUCCGUG